Molecule: long non-coding RNA, 2472 nt
Filed under: Pan troglodytes (chimpanzee)
Lineage: Eukaryota; Metazoa; Chordata; Mammalia; Primates; Hominidae
Description: long non-coding RNA NONPTRT009433
Source: RNAcentral
GGGGGUGAAAGGCAGGGGUGGGGGGUGGAUCCUUCACAAAUGGACAUUUGAGUAAAUGCUGGAAUGAGUUCAGACAUUGGGGGACCUUAGAGAACACAUCAUUAUAUUUUUCAGAAUAAGAAGUUCAUGAGGUUGGGGACCAAGGGGAGAAUAAUAUGAUUUGGCUCUGUGUGCCUUCCAAAACUCAUGUGGAAUUGUAAUGGGGAAUGUCAAAUGUGGGACUUGGUAGAAGGUGAUUUAAUCAUGGUAGAGAAUGGGGGUUGGAAGGUGGAUGUGGGAGAAUGGGGGUUCAUGGUGUGGGUGAGGGUGAAACAUGGGGUUGGGUGGCAGAUCCUUCACACAUGGUUAAAUACUAUCACCUUAAUGCGGUCUGUGCGAUAGUGAGUUCUCAUGAUAAAUGAAUGCUGUCCUGCUGGGUUUUGGACUCGGAUUGGACCUGUGUCCCAAUUGUGUUAUUUUUCUGGGAAAAUCUUCCCUUUGGAUUGAGAAAGCUUACCCAGUGCCUGUGCCAUCACUGUAACUUGAAAGAAAAGAAUUGUCUUUUACAUUCAGGGACUCAUAGGCAGAAGAGAUUGCAGCCUUGUCUUGGAUGAGACUUGAACUUACUACAUUUGAGUUACUGCUGGAAUGAGUUAAGACUUUUGGAAACUUUUGAAAAGGCAUGAUUGUGUUUUGCUCUGUGAGAAGGACAUGAGGUUCUGGGGUAUCAGGGUCAGAAUAAUAUGGGUUGACUGUGUGUCCCUGUAAAACUCACGUGUCAUCCUUAAUGUCGAAGGUGUGCCAGGUGGGAGGUGAUUUAAUCUUGGAUGGGAGGGGGUUGGGUGGAAGGAAAAGGAGGGGUAGUGUGGGGAGGAGUAGGUCGUCAGUAAGGUGGUGGGAGGGUGGUAGUAACUUGCUGCAGAGGCAGAGGCUCAUGGGAAGCCUCUACUAGGACAGUGCAUCUCUGGCUUUGCAGGGUGUUGCCCCCAUGGCUGCUGUCAUGGGCUGGGUUGGUGUCGAGUGCCUGUAGCUUUUCCAUACUGAGGGUGUGAGCUGUUGGUGGACUUAUGAACCUGGAGUCUGGAGGAAGGUGGCCUCCUGUGUGGGGGCUCAAAGCCUAUAUUUUCCUUCUGCACUGCCAUAGUGGAUGUUUCCUAAGAGGUUCUGCUUCUGCAGGAGGCUUCUGCCUGGAAACAGUGGGCGGUGGUGUGGGUGGAGAAUCCUUCACCAUUGGUUAGUCUUCUUGAUGCCGAUGUCCUGAUGGUGAGUUCUUAUGUGAUCUGGUUGUCUAACAGGAUGUCACACCUCUUUCCUCUCUCUGUCUUGCUCCUACUCCUGCCAUAUGAAACAUCUCAUUGCCGCUUGGCCUUCUGAUAUGGUUAGGAGGGGCCUGAUCAGUGUGGGCCUGCUCAGUGGACCUAGUCAGUUGGGACUUUGUCAGUGAGGCCUAUUUAGUGGGGGGUGGUCAGCAGGUGUCUGCUUAGAGAGGGUCUCAUUAGAGGGAUCUAGUAGUGCAGGUCUUGGUGAGUGGGUUCCUAGUGGCAGACAAAUGUUUGGUGUCUGGUCAAUGCCAACCUGGGCUGUGGGACUUGGUCAGUGGAGACCCUGUCAGCUGGGGCUUAGUUGUGGCCUUGUCAGAUUGGGCUGGGUUACUGGUGACUAGGUCAAGGGGUGCUAUUCAGUGGAGGCCUGGUCACAUGGGACCUAGUCAGCAGAGAUGCUUGUCAGUGGGGCCCUGGUGAGGGCAGGCUGGUCAGUGGAACCUAAUCAGUGGGGGCCUGGUCAGAAAGGACUUGAUCAGUGGUGGCUUUUGUAGCACUGGUCUAUGGGGUGACCAGGUCAGUGGGGAUCUGAGCAGUGCAUGCCUGUUCAGUGGGGCAUAUUCAUUAGAGUCCCAGUCAGGGGCAUCUGGUCACCUCAGGCAUGGUUAGUAGGGGCCUGGUCACUGGCAGCCUAUUCCCUGGAGGCCUGCUCAGUGGGGCUUCAUCUGUGGGACCAGGCAAUGGGGUCAUUAUCGGUGGAACCUGAUCAGCGAGGCCUUGUCAGUAAGGACCUGGUCAGUGAGGCCUUACAAGUGAGGACUUGUCAGUAAGGUCCUCAUCAGUGGAGUCCUGGUCAUUGUGGGCCUGUCAGCGGGAAUCUAGUUAGUGAGGCCUGGUGAUGGGGGUCUAAUCAGUGAGGGUGUGUUCAGGGAGGAUCUGAUAUGCUGGAUCUGGUCAGCAGGGACCUUUUCAGUGGGGGCUGCUGAGCACUGCAGGGAGAUGUCAGGAGAAAUGCAUGUUAUCGAGUACCCUGUGGACAGCUGGGAUGGCCCAGUGGUGUUCAAUGGCCCAGUCAAAAGUGGACAAAGCAGGUGUUUGGAUGGACCUGGGAGAUCUUGCUCAGGGAUUCUGACAGGACAAAAGUAAAGGAAGUACCAGAGUGGCCAGAGAGAUGGUCACAGUCUAUGGGCUGCACAGGAUGGAGGAGGCCAAGGAACAGGCAGGGUGGGCA